UGGGGAAUAUUGCACAAUGGGGGAAACCCUGAUGCAGCGACGCCGCGUGGGGGAUGACGGCCUUCGGGUUGUAAACUUCUUUCAGUAGGGAAGAAGCCUUCGGGUGACGGUACCUGCAGAAGAAGUACCGGCUAACUACGUGCCAGCAGCCGCGGUAAUACGUAGGGUACAAGCGUUGUCCGGAAUUAUUGGGCGUAAAGAGCUCGUAGGUGGUCUGUCACGUCUGCUGUGGAAACGCAAGGCUCAACCUUGCGCGUGCAGUGGGUACGGGCGGACUAGAGUGCAGUAGGGGAGUCUGGAAUUCCUGGUGUAGCGGUGAAAUGCGCAGAUAUCAGGAGGAACACCGGUGGCGAAGGCGGGACUCUGGGCUGUAACUGACGCUGAGGAGCGAAAGCAUGGGGAGCGAACA
This 409-nucleotide ribosomal RNA is filed under the name uncultured bacterium. Its description in RNAcentral is "partial 16S ribosomal RNA". It matches the Rfam family "Bacterial small subunit ribosomal RNA", at positions 355 to 774 of the family's 1533-position model. The record is from RNAcentral.